AGAGUUUGAUCCUGGCUCAGAGUGAACGCUGGCGGCGUGCCUAACACAUGCAAGUCGAACGAGAACGGAUUACAGCUUGCUGUAAUUGUCAGCUAAGUGGCGCACGGGUGAGUAAUAUAUAGUUAAUCUGCCCCAAAGAAGAGAAUAAUUGUUGGAAACGACUUGUAAUGCUCUAUAUGCCUUUAAGACAUAAGUCUGCAAGGGAAAUAUUUAUAGCUUUGGGAUGAGACUGUACGGUAUCAGCUAGUUGGUGAGGUAAUGGCUCACCAAGGCUAUGACAUCUAACUGGUUUGAGAGGAUGAUCAGUCACACUGGAACUGAGACGCGGUCCAGACUCCUACGGGAGGCAGCAGUGGGGAAUAUUGCACAAUGGAGGAAACUCUGAUGCAGCAACGCCGCGUGGAGGAUGACACAUUUCGGUGCGUAAACUCCUUUUAUAUGAGAAGAUAAUGACGGUA
RNAcentral lists this ribosomal RNA (458 nucleotides) under uncultured bacterium. RNAcentral describes it as "bacterial SSU rRNA". It matches the Rfam family "Bacterial small subunit ribosomal RNA", at positions 8 to 477 of the family's 1533-position model. The record is from RNAcentral.